GGACUACUAGGGUUUCUAAUCCUGUUUGCUACCCACGCUUUCGCGCCUCAGCGUCAGUUACUGUCCAGGUGGCCGCCUUCGCCACUGGUGUUCCUCCUCAUCUCUACGCAUUUCACCGCUGCACGAGGAAUUCCACCACCCUCUCCAGUACUCUAGCCUCCCAGUCUCGGAUGCAGUUCCCAGGUUGAGCCCGGGGAUUGCACAUCCGACUUAAGAAACCGCCUACGCGCCCUUUACGCCCAAUAAUUCCGAAUAACGCUUGCCCCCUCUGUAUUACCGCGGCUGCUGGCAC
This 292-nucleotide ribosomal RNA is filed under the name uncultured Acidobacteriota bacterium. RNAcentral's name for it is "uncultured Acidobacteria bacterium partial 16S ribosomal RNA". Lineage: Bacteria; Pseudomonadati; Acidobacteriota. The record is from RNAcentral.